Molecule: ribosomal RNA, 253 nt
Filed under: uncultured bacterium
Lineage: Bacteria
Description: partial 16S ribosomal RNA
Rfam family: Bacterial small subunit ribosomal RNA
Source: RNAcentral
UACAGAGGUCCCAAGCGUUGUUCGGAUUCAUUGGGCGUAAAGGGUGCGUAGGCGGUGAGGUAAGUUGGAUGUGAAAUCCCAGGGCUCAACCCUGGAACUGCAUUCAAUACUGCCUUGCUAGAGUACUGGAGAGGAGAUUGGAAUUCACGGUGUAGCAGUGAAAUGCGUAGAUAUCGUGAGGAAGACCAGUGGCGAAGGCGAAUCUCUGGACAGUAACUGACGCUGAGGCACGAAGGCUAGGGGAGCAAACGGG